Molecule: ribosomal RNA, 528 nt
Filed under: uncultured bacterium
Lineage: Bacteria
Description: bacterial SSU rRNA
Rfam family: Bacterial small subunit ribosomal RNA
Source: RNAcentral
UAGUCCACGCUGUAAACGAUGUCUACUUGGAGGUUGUUGUCUUGAAUGAUGGCUUUCGGAGCUAACGCGUUAAGUAGACCGCCUGGGGAGUACGGCCGCAAGGUUAAAACUCAAAGGAAUUGACGGGGACCCGCACAAGCGGUGGAGCAUGUGGUUUAAUUCGAUGCAACGCGAAGAACCUUACCUGCCCUUGACAUACUCGGAACUUUCCAGAGAUGGAUUGGUGCCUUCGGGAAUCGAGAUACAGGUGCUGCAUGGCUGUCGUCAGCUCGUGUCGUGAGAUGUUGGGUUAAGUCCCGCAACGAGCGCAACCCUUGUCCCUAGUUGCCAACACCUCGGGUGGGAACUCUAGGGAGACUGCCGGUGACAAACCGGNGGAAGGUGGGGACGACGUCAAGUCAUCAUGGCCCUUACGACUUGGGCUACACACGUGCUACAAUGGUCGGUACAGAGGGCAGCAAAGCGGCGACGUGGAGCCAAUCCCUUAAAACCGGUCGUAGUCCGGAUUGGAGUCUGUAACUCGACUCC